CUACGCACUCCUACGGGAGGCAGCAGUGGGGAAUAUUGCACAAUGGGCGCAAGCCUGAUGCAGCCAUGCCGCGUGUAUGAAGAAGGCCUUCGGGUUGUAAAGUACUUUCAGCAGUGAGGAAGGUGGGUAUGUUAAUAGCAUACUCAUUUGACGUUAGCUGCAGAAGAAGCACCGGCUAACUCCGUGCCAGCAGCCGCGGUAAUACGGAGGGUGCGAGCGUUAAUCGGAAUUACUGGGCGUAAAGCGCAUGCAGGUGGUUUGUUAAGUCAGAUGUGAAAGCCCGGGGCUCAACCUCGGAAUUGCAUUUGAAACUGGCAAACUAGAGUACUGUAGAGGGGGUAGAAUUUCAGGUGUAGCGGUGAAAUGCGUAGAGAUCUGAAGGAAUACCGGUGGCGAAGGCGGCCCCCUGGACAGAUACUGACACUCAGAUGCGAAAGCGUGGGGAGCAAACAGGAUUAGAUACCCUGAUAG
This 471-nucleotide ribosomal RNA is filed under the name uncultured bacterium. RNAcentral's name for it is "bacterial SSU rRNA". It matches the Rfam family "Bacterial small subunit ribosomal RNA", at positions 329 to 793 of the family's 1533-position model. The record is from RNAcentral.